Long non-coding RNA from Oncorhynchus keta (chum salmon), 1606 nucleotides. RefSeq lists it as uncharacterized. The transcript is spliced from 5 exons. The record is from RefSeq and is a predicted model, not a curated record. NCBI's taxonomy places the organism in Eukaryota, Metazoa, Chordata, Actinopteri, Salmoniformes, Salmonidae.
ACUGGAUCUGGUGGGACUGACUGUUCUGACUGACUGGAUCUGGUGGGACUGACUGUUCUGACUGACUGGAUCUGGUGGGACUGACUGUUCUGACUGACUGGAUCUGGUGGGACUGACUGUUCUGACUGACUGGAUCUGGUGGGACUGACUGUUCUGACUGACUGGAUCUGGUGGGACUGACUGUUCUGACUGGAUCUGGUGGGACUGACUGGAUCUGGUGGGACUGACUGGUCUGACUGGAUCUGGUGGGACUGACUGGUCUGACUGGAUCUGAUGGGACUGACUGUUCUGACUGGAUCUGGUGGGACUGACUGGUCUGACUGGAUCUGGUGGGACUGACUGGUCUGACUGGAUCUGGUGGGACUGACUGGUCUGACUGGAUCUGGUGGGACUGACUGUUCUGACUGGAUCUGGUGGGACUGACUGUUCUGACUGGAUCUGGUGGGACUCUAGUCUACUGUCUCAGACAGAGGUGUCUAGUCUGCCGUCUCGGACAGAGGUGUCUAGUCUGCCGUCUCGGACAGAGGUGUCUAGUCUGCCGUCUCGGACAGAGGUGUCUAGUCUGCCGUCUCGGACAGAGGUGUCUAGUCUGCCGUCUCGGACAGAGGUGUCUAGUCUGCCGUCUCGGACAGAGGUGUCUAGUCUGCCGUCUCGGACAGAGGUGUCUAGUCUGCCGUCUCGGACAGAGGUGUCUAGUCUGCCGUCUCGGACAGAGGUGUCUAGUCUGCCGUCUCGGACAGAGGUGUCUAGUCUGCCGUCUCGGACAGAGGUGUCUAGUCUGCCGUCUCGGACAGAGGUGUCUAGUCUGCCGUCUCGGACAGAGGUGUCUAGUCUGCCGUCUCGGACAGAGGUGUCUAGUCUGCCGUCUCGGACAGAGGUGUCUAGUCUGCCGUCUCGGACAGAGGUGUCUAGUCUGCCGUCUCGGACAGAGGUGUCUAGUCUGCCGUCUCGGACAGAGGUGUCUAGUCUGCCGUCUCGGACAGAGGUGUCUAGUCUGCCGUCUCGGACAGAGGUGUCUAGUCUGCCGUCUCGGACAGAGGUGUCUAGUCUGCCGUCUCGGACAGAGGUGUCUAGUCUGCCGUCUCGGACAGAGGUGUCUAGUCUGCCGUCUCGGACAGAGGUGUCUAGUCUGCCGUCUCGGACAGAGGUGUCUAGUCUGCCGUCUCGGACAGAGGUGUCUAGUCUGCCGUCUCGGACAGAGGUGUCUAGUCUGCCGUCUCGGACAGAGGUGUCUAGUCUGCCGUCUCGGACAGAGGUGUCUAGUCUGCCGUCUCGGACAGAGGUGCGUCGUCUGCCGUCUCGGACAGAGGUGCGUCGUCUGCCGUCUCGGACAGAGGUGCGUCGUCUGCCGUCUCGGACAGAGGUGCGUCGUCUGCCGUCUCGGACAGAGGUGCGUCGUCUGCCGUCUCGGACAGAGGUGCGUCGUCUGCCGUCUCGGACAGAGGUGCGUCGUCUGCCGUCUCGGACAGAGGUGCGUCGUCUGCCGUCUCGGACAGAGGUGCGUCGUCUGCCGUCUCGGACAGAGGUGCGUCGUCUGCCGUCUCGGACAGAGGUGCGUCGUCUGCCGUCUCGGACAGAGGUGCGUCGUCUGCCGUCUCGGACAGAG